GGGGUGUAUAGCUCAGCGGUAGAGCAUUCGACUGCAGAUCAGGAGGUCCCCGGUUCAAACCCGGGUGUCCCUU
Molecule: transfer RNA, 73 nt
Filed under: Trichonephila inaurata madagascariensis
Lineage: Eukaryota; Metazoa; Arthropoda; Arachnida; Araneae; Nephilidae
Description: tRNA-Cys
Rfam family: tRNA
About the family: Transfer RNA (tRNA) molecules are approximately 80 nucleotides in length. Their secondary structure includes four short double-helical elements and three loops (D, anti-codon, and T loops).
Source: RNAcentral